RNAcentral lists this ribosomal RNA (253 nucleotides) under uncultured bacterium. RNAcentral describes it as "partial 16S ribosomal RNA". It matches the Rfam family "Bacterial small subunit ribosomal RNA", at positions 524 to 776 of the family's 1533-position model. The record is from RNAcentral.
UACGGAGGGUGCAAGCGUUAUCCGGAUUCACUGGGUUUAAAGGGUGCGUAGGUGGCUUUGUAAGUCAGUUGUGAAAGCCUGGAGCUCAACUCCAGAACUGCCAUUGAUACUGCUUAGCUUGAAUCACGUCGAGGUGGAUGGAAUAAUACAUGUAGCGGUGAAAUGCUUAGAUAUGUAUUAGAACACCGAUUGCGAAGGCAGUUCACUAGGCGUGUAUUGACACUGAGGCACGAAAGCGUGGGGAUCAAGCAGG